This 18841-nucleotide long non-coding RNA is filed under the name Lactuca sativa (garden lettuce). RNAcentral describes it as "long non-coding RNA (LSAT_LNC007407)". The record is from RNAcentral. Lineage: Eukaryota; Viridiplantae; Streptophyta; Magnoliopsida; Asterales; Asteraceae.
CUUAUUACACUGUACAUUUUACUCUGUAUAUCAUAUUUCAAACUUAUUUAAAAUUGUGUUUCAAACAAAUGUUUCUUUAUACUAAAUUGUUUUAUCAAACCCAUGCCUUCAAACUGUUUUAUAGAUUGACAUCAAGUCGAUCUUUUCUUAAGAUAAUAUUUAUGUUCAAAUGUUUUACAAAACUUAUUUAUGUUUUUAUAUUAUAAAUUGCAUGCCUCUAUAUGUAUAGUUAUAUAAGAAAUGUUUAAAAGACUUAGGAAGGCUAUCCACCCUAUUUCCUUUUCGCGCUUGAGAUGUGGUCUGGUGGGAUAUCGGGUACUCAUCCGAAGGUCGUUUAAAUAUUAGUUAUAUAUCAUGUGUACAUAUAUAGUCAUAAAAGGUCCUUCCAGUUCAUCCCAUGCCCUUGGGUAGCAAGGGUAUACAUCCAUGUCCAUACGUACCAGUUAGAUUACUAGUAAACUACCAUAUGGGUAGUUUAGGAAGAUACUAGAACUAUUACUAGAACGCGAUAUCAUACAAUGAGUCAGUUCAUUCAUGAGUCAAUACUUUCUAGAACAUUACAGUACAUUACAUAUACAACUAUACUAGGAAGAGAACAUAUACAACUAUACUAGAAUGAUUACAUUACUAUACUUGCUAGGUAGAGAGCACGUACAUUACAGCUAGAACAGUUCAUUACAUUACAUAUACAAGAAUACGUUAAUUAUUGUGAUUUAAAUCGGAGCAUGACUUAAAUGUCAUGGCCCGAGUUGUAGCCAGAGUCUCUUGGAGGGAGAGCGUGAGUUUGCGUAUAGAUCUAUACUGGAUUGACUAUCCUACACCUUGCUGCUAGCUACAGCCGGACCUGCAGGUCUGCGGGUGCCAAACGUCAUUCCGUUAUUACGACCAUUCGUAUGUCGUUGUUACCAGUCGAUAGUAUGGUGCAAUUAAUCACAUGAUGCCUUAAUAUAAAUCCGGUUUAAGGUAGUUAGUACAGCAGUAGUUCUUAUAGCGCUACGUUUUAGUACUACAUUAAUUUUCCCUGUACAUAUAUUUAGUGAUCUUUUCACUUAAACUAUAAAUGUAAAAACUAUAUUUUGUUAAUAAUAGUUACACUUGGGAAAAUUACACACUUUUACAAGAAACGAACAUAUAGAACAGUUAAGUCUUGGUAGAAGACUACAUUGAGAACAGUUAGGUCUUGGUAGAAGACACCCUUAUAUAAUAGUAGGAAUCAUAGGGAUUUCUAGAGUUUUUCAAACGUUUACAGUUGUUUUACAAACAUUUUCAUACUUACAGUUCAUAUACAUUUUCAAUACUUACAAUUCAUUUACUUACAAAUUCUUACAUACAAAUUAAGACACUAAAUACUUAUGAUCUCACCAGCUUCAAAGCUGAUACUCGCUUUCAAAAUUACUUGUAUCCUCAGGUCAUCAUAGACAGGUACCGAUGCAAGGAGAAAGGAAGAUGGAGCUUGUUCAAGACUCAUCUUUCAUUUUGAUUUAUGCUUUAGUGUUUAUCAAAAUUUGACAGAACACAUUUGUAUAAUAAUUAUAUUAUUAAUGCAAUGGAUGAUGUUGUUGCUUGUUUACUACUUUACAUUGUUGUGAUACUGUACAUGACGUCCUCCGCCCCAGAACGUUUCCUCCGUUCUUGGUUUUGGGGUGUGAAAGAUUGGUAUCAGAGCAUUGUUUAUAGUGAAUUAAGUAUAUAUCAACCCAUAAAAGAUAUACUAACUAUAAAUACAUAAGGGAUUAAAAAUACUCUAACCAAGAGUUUAUACUUUAAAUAAUAUACGUGCCUGCAUUCAAACUAAAAUCGGUGUCACUAGGACAGUACAAAAGAAUUACGAUUGUUGGGCAACACAAGUGGGCUUAGAGACAUAUGGUCAAAACUGGGAAGAUAUAGCCUGAUCACCUAUAUUAUCCGAGGGUUGACUAGCAUGUGCCGAAGUUUAAUUGUGUGGUUGCAACAAUGCUAAAAUCUUACCAACCCUACCACAAUGAGAACAAUAGAACAUAACAUAAAAAUUAAAAAUACUAUAGGAGUAUUUGGUGUUACUAUAAGUACUUUAUACGUGAGAACUAAAACAGGAUCUUCAUUACUAAGUUGAUAGUUGCUAAGUGGAUACACUGAAGCUAUAUGUAAUUAGGAUGUUAUAGACUUAGAAUCUGUGAAAAUUUUACCUCACCGCUAUUCUGUGUGAAUAUGGAGUUGAGGUCACUUAUUCGAAGGUCUAUCCUGUUUAGAUUACACAUAGCUGGUAUGCACUUCACAAAUAGCGAUGUAACUAAUGAAGGUUUUCCUAAAUAAUUAUCUAGAUAGUUCGUCUAAUAAUUAUUCUUUUACCUUAAAUUCUCGCAUAGAAAACAUAGCUUGACUCCAUCCCCACAGCAACCAGUAUCUUCUGAAUGAAGUCAUAGUUGGUUGAUUUGGAGAAGAACCAGAGAAUGAUCAUCCUAUCCCAUUUGAAUGAUCACCAUGAUGAAGACCUUUCGUAUGAUGCUAACUCCGAACCAGAGGUUGAGAACCUACCCCGACCAGCUCCCUUUCCAAUUCCUAACCCUCGUCCGGCUUUUCAUGGCCCGACCCUGAGUGAGUGGAAUGCUUGGAAACAUGGAGCUAAGGACAAGAUCAGCCUAUGCCAUGUGAUGGAGACCGAAGCUUUUAUGACAUGAGCAAUGGGGGCUCAGCAGAUAGAGUCUUGCCAAUCUUGGUCCGCAGAGUGGCCCGAAAUGAGAUUACAGGUAGGACAGCCCUACAUCAGAUUACCGAAGUUGGCGCCUAUGCUAGAAUGCAUACCCUCCGGACAAUUCAUCUAGAAGAUGCUCACGAGAGAUCAGAGAAUAACCAUGAAACCUUGCUGCAAGCACUGGCUGAAUCACGAGUCGAAGUCAUAGAGCUCCGAGUACACCAGAAGGUGUACGGAAGACACCUACUUGAUGUAGAACGUUAAUUGGCUGAACUGAGAGUUCACCUGAGGGAUGACCGUCGUCAAUAGUAGAUUCUUUACCUUACUUUCCUUGUUAGAAAGUAAUCGUUUUCCGUCUUUGCCUGAUCUGGCAUUUUCUAUGAAAUUAUCUUGUACUGUAAGUACUUUUAGUUAGGUCCUUAUGCUGUUAGGAACUAUCUUCUCUGGAUAUGAUGUAAGACCUUUACAAGGUCAUUUUCCUGAAUCUUUACAUCGUGAAUAUCAAAGAUAUUGACAGCCGGCUAACUUAUGUGUCAUUCUUCAUUCAAGUACUCUUAUCAUACUCUCAUUGGAGUCUAUCUGAAACCUGCUUUUGUCAAGUCAUUGGACUAUAGCAAGUUAGAUCUGGAGACAUUUCCAUGUCUCUUUCAGUGGUUGGAUCAUGUUAGUCACCAACCCACGAUACCUAGGCUGGCACAACAAACGUUUUGAGACCAUUCUACGAACUUACUUCUACCCAUUAUAAAUAUUGUAUCGUAGGGAUGUAAGUGAACCUUCGUGAACAUACUUCCAUUCCGUACUAGGACUACAUCAUAGGGAUGUAGGUCAAACAUUGGAGAACAUAGUCUUACUCUUUUCUUGAACAAUCUAAGUACAUCUAGGGUCAACCUGAAUCGCUCACAAAUCCUUAUCUUUCAUGUUACAGAAUCAUGUCGUCAUCAGGAAACAAUCAGCCGAGCAACGAAACCCCCAUCCUCCAUAUCGACACCGCUACAUUAAAAGUUGCAGUAGCAGCUGCUGUGACAACUUUCCUUACACACAUCAACUCAGGCAACACUAACAAGACUGAAAAAGGAGUCGAGAGUUUAGAUGGUAGUACCAAAUCGGGAAACCAACAAACAGUAACAGUCACUGGCUCGCAAAGCCGAAAGACCGAGAACAAGAAACGAAAGUGUCAAGCCCAGAAAGAACGCAAGAAAUCCCAAAGGCUGGUCAUGCAACAGCAACAAGUGGAAACCCAAGCCAUCCCAGUACCGAGCAGGCCAUACGAGGGAAAACUCCCGAAGUGUGACAAGUGUAGUUUCCAUCAUCAUGGUGCUUGCCAUGAGAUGCAGUGUUGCAAUUGCCUAAAAAUAGGGCACCAUGCUCGUGACUGUGGAGCACCGGCACGACCCAUCACUCAAGUUCCUUUCAUCGGGACUAACCCUACACACGAGAGUAGUUAUAAUGCCGAACGCUUUAGGAACCAAUUUUCAAAGUGGAGUAACGAGGAAGGCACUCGUGUCCACAUAACAUUGGCUAAACACCACAAUCCCGUCACCAAAGCUAGUACUAGCCAGUCAUGCCACCAAUGCGGGGAGAUAGGGCACUUCAAGAAAGAUUUCCCGAUAGAAAAGAAUUCAGGUGGUGAUGGAAAGUUCUUAGGAUCACAGCUGCAGGAGAGCCUACUCCGGAACCCUUGUUAAUGUAACUUAGGCGUGUUGUUGUAACAGACAUAUAAACUAUCCAGAACUAGUGCAACUAGAGUCUUACCUUUUGCGAGAUCUUGUCUAUAUAAGGAUUCUCGUGCUGCGUAUACUUGUCUUUUGUAGUAUAUCUUAUUCGCAGCAAUAGUCUUGUGGUAAAUCUAAAGUACCGUAACUCUGUUCAUGGUUGCACGGUUGUGUUUUGUCUGUAAACGUCUUAUGUUCAAAUCUAAUGUCUUUAAGUUUCAGUAUGAUUCCGACAUUAUCAUACGACUCGAUUCAAGUUGUUCUUCACAAAAACAGCUUCAUAUGUACAUCUCUUUCUUCUAGAUCGCUUUUCCAGCGAAGUCGUUAUAUCAAAACACCGAAGUACUUAUGCAUGGAGUACCUCCUAGUUCUUUUCUUUUCCGAAGAAACCCCCGAAGUACCACUCGUGCAGUACGUCAAGUUCAAUCUAAGGAUUUAUACGAUUGAUCUAUCACUGAGAAAUGUAUGAAUAAGAGUGAUAUAUAUAAUCAAGGUUCUACAGGUUUAGAAUUGAUGAUUCCACUUUAACUUCUGUUUCCCCAAUGGGAUGUGAGCUUAAAGAAGAAUUAGUUAUUCGACUACCUUUUCAAUCUUAAUUAUAUACGACUCGUAUACACGAAAUUGUGAUUGUGAAACCAGGUAUGAAUCCUAAUAUGAACUUCAGGACGGAGAACUGCCUAAGCCUACGAGUAAUUGCAUCGUCAUGUGAACAAACUUAGAACCCAGUACGACUCUUGUAAACAGAUCACCCUAUAGUCUAAACACCCACGGAGAUACCAGAACAGUACAAACAACUUAGCAAACUGCACAACGAUAGAAUAAGAAGACUAGGCUUCUCACCCUGGAGAACCCCAAGUCUUAUUCUCCAAGAGAUCAGCGGAUUGCAUCGUAUGUGCCUCGGAUAUCGAGGACUCCGUCAAGAUUUCAUGGAAAUCGUUAUCUCUGCCUCGCAUUGAUGAAAUGGUUGAGCAAACUCAAGGAAAGAAUUUCUUUCAGAAAUGGAUAUGAGAUCCGAAUAUCACCAGUUCGAGUUUUAGGGAAGGAUGUCCAGAAGACUAUCUUCCGAACUCGAUGCGGACACUUCGAGUCCGUAGAGAUACCCUUCGGAUAGGACCAAUACGCCCAUAGCUUUCAUAAGCUAAAUGAGUAGGGUACGUCUUUCUUACUUGGAUCAAUUCGUCAUUUCUCCAUGUAAUGACUUACUUUUCUACCCUCGUAGUAAGAAGAAAACCCAUGGAAACAUUUCCUACAGAGGAACUUUAGCGAAGUUCUCUAGGCACGAGUUUUGAAAUUGAAGAGUCAAAUUUCUAUGACACACUGUUAGUAAUGUGAGAAAUUAUGAGCACUCUUUCAAUUUGUCAAAACCGUUGAGCAUUUAUCGACACUAGAGACGCUGACAGUCCUUCACCAAAUUUUAGGUCUUACCGACCUACCGUCUUAGUUCAUUCAGAACUCCUCGCAAAUUACAGAAACCCGUACGACUUUGACCUAGCAAGGGGUGGCCUUUGACUGGGAAGUUAAGCAAUAAGAGGAACCUUUGGAAUUCCAAGUGAGUGACCAAGCUCUUUAGGUUAACUCACUCUGUGAAUGGCUUAAUACGCUUCGUAUCGCGUGGAAAGCUAAAUCCAAUAUAGUUAGGACCUCCGAGAUCCUCAUCAGAAUCGGUCAUGUGCCUCGCACAAACUAGACCUACUCCGCGAACUCAGUAACGUACAUCCUACUCUUCGCGUCUUGAUCGUGGAACCAUACCUUUCCGUUAGGACUCUUGUAAGUCCACUCGUCGAGAUCCUCGCCUUCGUAUUAGAACCGUAGUGACCCUCGACUGAGAGGUCCAGCGGACGAAGCAACGUCGUCGCCAGUUAGUGAAGGUUCGUUGGAAUGGCAACGGAGAACCCGAUUUCACUUAAGUGCGAGAACCAAUCGAUUAAGGAAGUUUCCCCCUCACGACUCGAUCAUUCGUGCGUACUUCCUUGCCUAAAUUCUAAUUUCGGGACGAAAUUCCCAUGAACAGGGGAAUGAUGUGACAACCCGAAAUUUCCAUUCUGAACAAACCAUAUCAAGCCAAUAGAAGUAGAACAGUUACAGUGAAAACUCAGAUGUCGAGUAUAAGUUUGGCAGUUUUAAGGAUUUUACACUUAAGGAGAUAUUAGGAGAGUGGAUGCACUAGGGUUUUGUGCAACAUUGUUAUUCAAAUACUCUAGUAUAUUAGAGUUCAUUCCGAGAAUAGAAAUAUUUUCUGCCAAAAAUCCCAGGACUAUAAAUAGAAUUCUGAACCAAGUUGGUUCAUUAGUUGAAUUCCAAUUAUAGAAAAGCAAAAUUCACUCUCACGGAUCUUCGGGUUUUUAUCACAAAUUGUGAGUAACUCUUUCUAGUAGUGUUAGAAAGCUUUAAAUGUGUUCAUAACACAGAUUACAUAGCUAAAUCAUCCGAUUUAGGAGUUUACUCCCCAAGGUGUUCUUGGGUGGUAAACUCCCGAAACCAAGCCUAGAUUGUCCCCCGUGAUGUAGUACUGCCUUGGACUUGUAUAGGAGUGUAUUAGGGACAUGAAAUCAACCAAGAAUCACCCAAGUUUGGGAGUUCACGGCCCAAGAAUAUCUUAGGCCGUAAACUCCAAGAAUAGUGCUCAAAAUGGUGCUUUUAAGGCACCCAAGGCUUAGACUUUAUUUUAGACAUGUACCCUAAAGUGUUUAAAGCCUAGAAAACAUAAGAAAUCACUAUUAUCGAGGAGUUUAUGGCCAAGAAUAGUUCUUGGGCCGUAAACACCUAUGAUGGGGUCAAAUGACACCCUAACUCCUUCCUUAAGCCAAGAGACCAAUUUGGGCGUGUACCUAAAUGAGUUUUGGACUAGCUAACACACUUAGAACACCAAGAGUGAGGGAGUUUACGGCCCAAAAGGUUCUAGGGCCGUGAACUCCAUAAAAUGGUGCCAAAUGGUGCCAUAAACUCUUCUAAAGCCAAGUACAAAAGCCUAGUUUAGUUCCUAGUUAAUUUAGAGACUUGAAAACACCAUAACCACCCUCCCAAGGGAGUUUACGGCCGUAAACUCCAAGGGUAUAUGGUCCCUGGGCCGUAAACUCCUUAAAGGAGUUAAUAUGACACCCAAACACUUGAUUUAGCCUUGAAACAAUUCACCACAUGAGUUGUAUAAUUGUUUGACUUCAUUUAGGGCUUUGUUGAGAGUUUACAGCCAGGAGUUUACUCCCCUGGGCCGUAAACUCCAAGACAUAUGGUAAUUUGACCAUAGAGUUCCAUUAGAGGCAUUGCACUCCUUUGUUGCAACGCAUUAGCCUCCUAACACUUGACCAAAAGUGUUUUCUUCGCGUUUAAAUGUUUAUACUUGUAUAAUUAGUGUUUUAAUCACUAUUUAUUUAUAUACAUAUGUCUUCAUAUGAAAUUAGGAUCAUUGUGUGUGUCUAAGGUCUUCACUUGACACCAAGCACUUGCCCGAUCCUUCCUUACAAUAACAGUCCGUUCAAUUCCAGUCACUUACUGCAGGUGAGUUCAUACCCCUUAACUAAUAUUUUAAGCUAUUUUUAAAUGUUUUAUGGGGGGGUGAUACAAGUAGAAUCAUGCUAGUUAUUAUAUCAAUCACAUGUGAUUAAUAUACAGCAUUCAAACGAUUUGGCUACUCAUUAGCCGUUUUACCAAACAAUUUCCUUCCAAUGAUUUUUAUAAAUACUUUAUAUGUUUUGAACUCCUCAUUACGCUGUACAUUUUACUAUGUAUACCAUAUUUCAAACUUAUUUACAAUUGUGUUUCAAACAAAUGUUUCUUUAUACUAAACUGUUUUAUCAAACCCAUGCCUCAAACUGUUUUAUAGAUUGACAUCAAGUCGAUCUUUUCUUAAGAUAAUAUUUAUGUUCAAAUGUUUUACAAAACUUAUUUAUGUUUUUAUAUUAUAAAUUGCAUGCCUCUAUAUGUAUAGUUAUAUAAGAAAUGUUUAAAAGACUUAGGAAGGCUAUCCACCCUAUUUCCUUUUCGCGCUUGAGAUGUGGUCUGGUGGGAUAUCGGGUACUCGUCCGAAGGUCNUGUGGUCUGCUGGGAUAUCGGGUACUCAUCCGAAGGUUGUUUAAAUAUUAGUUAUAUAUCAUGUGUACAUAUAUAGUCAUAAAGGCCCUUCCAGUUCAUCCCAUGCCCUUAGGUAGCAAGGGUAUACAUCCAUGUCCAUACGUACGUUUAGAUUACUAGUAAACUUCCAUAUGGGUAGUUUAGGGAGAUACUAGAACUAUUACAAGAACGCGAUAUCAUACAAUGAGUCAGUUCAUUCAUGAGUCUAUACUUGCUACAUAGAGAGCACAUACAUUACAGCUAGAAGAUUUCAUUACUACGAGUACAUAUAAAACUAUACUAGAGAAUAACAUAUACAACUAUACUAGAAUGAGAACUUAUACAACGAUACUAGAACGAUUACAUUACCAUACUUGCUAGGUAGAGAGCACAUACAUUACAGCUAGAACAGUUCAUUACAUUACACUUACAUUAAUAUGUUCAUAAAAUUGUGAUCCACUGUGUCGGAGCAUGCCUUAAAUGUCAUGGCCCGAGUUGUAGCCAGAGUCUCUUGGAGGGAGAGCGUGAGUUUGCGUAUAGAUCUAUACUGGAUUGACUAUCCUACACCUUGCUGCUAGCUACAGCCGGAUCUGCAGGUCUGUGGGUGCCAAACGUCAUUCCGUUAUUACGACCAUUCGUAUGUCGUUGUUACCAGUCGAUAGUAUGGUGCAAUUAAUCAUAUGAUGCCUUAAUAUAAAUCUGUUUUAAGGUAAUUAGUACUGCAUUAGUUCUUAUAGCGCUACGAUUUAGUACUACAUUAAUUUUCCCUGUACACAUAUUUAGUGAUCUUUUCACUUAAACUAUAAAUGUAAAAACUAUAUUUUGAUAAUGAUAGUUACACUUGGGAAAAUUACACACUUUUACAAGAGACGAACAUAUAGAACAGUUAAGUCUUGGUAGAAGACUACAUUGAGAACAGUUAGGUCUUGGUAGAANAAGUCUUGGUAGAAGACUCCCUGUUAUAAUAGUAGGGAUCAUAGGGAUUUCUAGGGUUUUUCAAAUGUUUACAGUUGUUUUACAAACAUUUUCAUACUUACAGCUCCUAUACAUUUUCAAUACUUACAAUUCAAUUACUUACAAAUUCUUACAUACAGAUUAAGACACUAAAUACUUAUGAUCUCACCAGCUUCAAAGCUGAUACUCGCUUUCAAAAUUACUUGUAUCCUCAGGUCAUCAUAGACAGGUACCGAUGCAAGGAGAAAGGAAGAUGGAGCUUGUUCAAGACUCAUCUUUCAUUUUGAUUUAUGCUUUAGUGUUUAUCAAAAUUUGACAGAACACUUGUAUUAUAAUUCUAUUAUUAAUGCAAUGGAUGAUGUUGUUGCUUGUUUACUACUUUUCAUUGUUGUGAUACUGUACAUGACGUCCUCCGCCCCAGAACGUUUCCGCCGUUCUUGGUUUUGGGGUGUGAAAGAUUGGUAUCAGAGCAUUGUUUAUAGUGAAUUAAGUAUAUCAACCCAUAAAAGAUAUACUAACUAUAAAUACAUAAGGGAUUAAAAAUACUCUGACCAAGAGUUUAUACUUUAAAUAAUAAAAUAUUUAAGUAAGUAUACGUGCCUGCAUUCAUACUAAAAUCGGUGUCACUAGGACAGUACAAAAGAAUUACGAUUGUUGGGCAACACGAGUGGGCUUAGAGACAUAUGCUCAAAACUGGGAAGAUAUAGCCUGAUCACCUAUCCGAGGGUUGACUAGCAUGUGCCUAAGUUUAAUUGUGUGGUUGCAAAAAUGCUAAAAUCUUACCAACCCUACCACAAUGAGAACAAUAGAACAUAACAUAAAAAUUAAAAAUACUAUAGGAGUCUUUGGUGUUACUAUAAGUACUUUAUACGUGAGAACUAAAACAGGAUCUUCAUUACUAAGUUGAUAGUUGCUAAGUGGAUACACUGAAGCUAUAUGUAAUUAGGAUGUUAUAGACUUAGAAUCUGUGAAAAUUUUACCUCACCCCUAUUCUGUGUGAAUAUGGAGUUAAGGUCACUUAUUCGAAGGUCUAUCCUGUUUAGAUUACACAUAGCUGGUAUGCACUUCACAAAUAGCGAUGUAACUAAUGAAGGUUUUCCUAAAUAAUUAUCUAGAUAGCUCGUCUAAUAAUUAUUCUUUUACCUUCAAUUCUCGCAUAGAAAACAUAGCUGGACUCCAUCCCCACGGCAACCAGUACCUUCUGAAUGAAGUCAUAGCUAGUUGGUUUGGAGAAGAACCAGAGAAUGAUCAUCCUAUCCCUUUUCAAUGAUCACCAUGAUGAAGACCUUUCGUAUGAUGCUAACUCCGAACCAGAGGUUGAGAACCUACCCCAAGCAGCUCCCUUUCCAAUUCCUAACCCUCGUUCGGCUUUUCUUGGCCCGACCCUGAAUGAGUGGAAUGCUUGGAAACAUGGAGCCAAGGACAAGAUCAGCCUAUGCCAUGUGAUGGAGACCGAAGCUUUUACGACUUGAGCAAUGGGGGCUCAGCAGAUAGAGUCUUUGCAAUCUUGGUCCACAGAGCGGCCCGAAAUGAGAUUCAAGGCAGGACAGCCCUACAUCAGAUUACUGAAGUUGUCGCCUAUGCUAGAAUGCAUACCCUCUACACCAUUCGUCUAGAAGAUGCUCAUGAGAGAUCAGAGAGAAACCAUGAAACCUUGCUGCAAGCGCUGGCUGAAUCACGAGCCGAAGUCAUAGAGCUCUGAGUACACCAGAAGGUGUACGAAAGACACCUACUUGAUGUAGAACAUCAACUGGCUGAACUGAGAGUUCACCUGAGGGAUGACCGUCGUCAAUAGUAGAUUCUUUACCUUGCUUUCCUUGUUAGAAAGUAAUCGUUUUCUGUCUUUUUCUGAUGUGGCAUUUUCUAUGAAAUUAUCUUGUACUGUAAGUACUUUUAUUUAGGUCCUUAUGUUGUCAGGAACUAUCUUCUCUGGAUAUGAUGUAAGACCUUUACAAGGUCAUUUUCCUGAAUCUUUACGUCGUGAAUAUCAAAGAUAUUGAUAGCCGGCUAACUUCUGUGUCAUUCUUCAUUCAAGUACUCUUAUCAUACUCUUAUUGGAGUGUAUCUGAAACCUGCAUUAGUCAAGUCAUUAGACUAUAGCAAGUUAGAUCUGGAGACAUUUCCAUGUCUCUUUCAGUGGUUGGAUCAUGUUAUUCACCAACCCACGAUACCUCGGCUGGCACAACAAAUGUUUUGAGACCAUUCUACGAACUUGCUUCUACCCAUUAUAAAUAUUGUAUCAUAGGGAUGUAGGUGAACCUUCGCGAACAUACUUCCAUUCCGUACUAGGACUACAUCAUAGGGAUGUAGGUCAAACAUUCGAGAACAUAGUCUUACUCUUUUCUUGAACAAUCUAAGUACAUCUAGGGUCAACCUUAAUCGCUCACAAAUCCUUAUCUUUCAUGUUACAGAAUCAUGUCAUCAUCAAGAAACAAUUAGCCGAGCAACGAAACCCCCAUCCUCCAUAUCGACACCGCUACAUUACAAGCUGCAGUAGCAGCUGCUGUGACAACUUUCCUUACACACAUCAACUCAGGCAACACAAACAAGACUGAAAAAGGAGUCGAGAGUUUUGGAUGGUAGUACCAAACCGGGAAACAAACAAACAGUAACGGUCACUGGCUCGCAAAGCCGAAAGACCGAUAACAAGAAACGAAAGUGUCAAGCCCAGAAAGAACGCAAGAAAUACCAAAGGCUGGCUAUGCAACAGCAACAAGUGGAAACCCCUGCCAUCCCAGUACCGAGCAGGCCAUACGAGGGAAAACUCCCGAAGUGUGAUAAGUGUAGUUUCCAUCAUCAUGGGGCUUGCCAUGAGAUGCAGUGUUCCAAUUGCCUAAAAAUAGGGCACCAUGCUCGUGCCUGUGGAGCACCGGCACGAUCCAUCACUCAAGUUCCUUUCGUCGGGACUAACCCUACACACGAGAGUAGUUAUAACGCCGAACGCUUUAGGAAGCAAUUUUCAAAGUGGAGUAACGAGGAAGGCACUCCUGUCCAGAUAACAUUGGCUAAACACCGCAAUCCCGUCACCAAAGCUAGUACUAGCCAGUCAUGCCACCAAUGCGGGGAGAUAGGGCACUUCAAGAAAGAUUGCCCGAUAACAAAGAAUUCGGGUGCUGAUGGAAAGAUUCUUAGGAUCACAGCUGCAGGAGAGCCUACCCCGGAAUCCUUGUUAAUGUAACUUAGGCGUGUUGUUGUAACAGACAUAUAAACUAUCCAGAACUAGUGAAACUAGAGUCUUACCUUUUGCGAGAUCUUGUCUAUAUAAGGAUUCUCGUGCUGCGUAUACUUGUCUUUUGUAGUAUAUCUUAUUCGCAGCAAUAGUCUUGUGGUAAAUCUAAAGUACUGUAACUCUGUUCAUGGUUGCACGGUUGUGUUUUGUCUGUAAACGUCUUAUGUUCAAAUCUAAUGUCUUUAAGUUUCAGUAUGAUUCCGACAUUAUCAUACGACUCGAUUGAAGUUGUUCUUCACGAAAACAACUUCAUACGUACAUCUCUUUCUUCUAGAUCGCUUUUCCAGUGAAGCCGUUAUAUCAAAACACCGAAGUACUCAUGCAUGAAGUACCUCCUAGUUCUUUUCUUUUCCGAAGAAACCCCCGAAUUACCACUCGUGCAGUACGUCAAGUUCAAUCUAAGAAUUUAUACGAUUGAUGUAUCACUGAGAAAUGUAUGCAUAAGAGUGAUAUAUAUAAUCAAGGUUCUACAGGUUUAGAAUUGAUGAUUCCACUUUAACUUCUGUUUCCCUAAUGGGAUGUGAGCUUAAAGAAGAAUCAGUUAUUCGACUACCGUUUCAAUCUUAAUUAUAUACGACUCAUAUACACGAAAUUGUGAUUGUGAAACCAGGUAUGAAUCCUAAUAUGAACUUCAGGAAUGAGAACUACCUAAGCCUACGAGUAAUCGCGUCGUCAUGUGAACAAACUUAGAACCCAGUACGACUCUUGUAAACAGAUCACCCUAUAGUCUAAACACCCACGGAGAUACCGGAAUAGUACAAACAACUUAGCGAACUGCACAACGAUAGAAUAAGAAGACUAGGCUUCUCACCCUGGAGAACCCCCAGUCUUAUUCUCCCAGAGAUCGGCGGAUUGUAUCGUAUGUGCCUCGGAUAUCGAGGACUCCGUCAAGAUUUCAUGGAAAUCGUUAUCUCUGCCUCGCAUUGAUGAAAUGGUUGAGCAAACUCAAGGAAAGAAUUUCUUUUAGAAAUGGAUCUGAGAUCCGAAUAUCACCAGUUCGAGUGUUAGGGAAGGAUGUCCAGAAGACUAUCUUCCGAACUCGAUGCGGACACUUUGAGUCCGUAGUGAUACCCUUCGGAUAGGACCAAUACGCCCAUAGCUUUCAUGAACUAAAUGAGUAGGGUACGUCUUUCUUACUUGGAUCAAUUCGUCAUUUCUCCAUGUAAUGACUUACUUAUCUACCCUUGUAGUAAGAAGAAAACCCAUGUAAACAUUUCUUACAGAGGAACUUUAGCGAAGUUCUCUAGGCACGAGUUUUGAAAUUGAAGAGUCAAAUUUCUAUGACACACUGUUAGUAAUGUGAGAAAUUAUGAGCACUCUUUCAAUUUGUCAAAACCGUUGAGCAUUUAUCGACACUAGAGACGCCGACAGUCCUUCACCAAAUUUUAGGUCUUACCGACCUACCGUCUUAGUUCAUUCAGAACUCCUUGCAAAUUACAGAAACCCGUACGACUUUGACCUAGCAAGGGGUGGCCUUUGACUGGGAAGUUAAGCAAGAAGAGGAACCUUUGGAAUUCCAAGUCAGUGACCAAGCUCUUUAGGUUAACUGACUCUGGGAAUGGCUUAAUACGCUUCGUAUCGCGUGGAAGGCUAAAUCCAAUAUAGUUAGGACCUCCGAGAUUCUCAUCAGAAUCAGUCAUGUGCCUCGCACAAACUAGACCUACUCCGCGAACUCAGUAACGUACAUCCUACUCUUUGCGUCUUGAUCGUGGAACCAUACCUUUCUGUUAGGACUCUUGUAAGUCCACUCAUCGAGAUCCUCGCCUUCGUAUUAGAACCAUAGUGACCCUCGACCGAGAGGUCCAACGGACAAAGCAACGUCGUCGCCAGUUAGUGAAGGUUCGUUGGAAUGGCAACCGAGAACCCGAUUUCACUUAAGUGCGCUAGAACCAAUCGAUUAAGGAAGUUUCCCCCUCACGACUCGAUCAUUCGUGCGUACUUCCUUGCCUAAAUUCUAAUUUCGGGAUGAAAUUCCCUUCAACAGGGGGAUGACGUGACAACCCGAAAUUUCCAUUCAGAACAAACAAUAUCAAGCCAAUANNNNNNNNNNNNNNNNNNNNNNNNNNNNNNNNNNNNNNNNNNNNNNNNNNNNNNNNNNNNNNNNNNNNNNNNNNNNNNNNNNNNNNNNNNNNNNNNNNNNNNNNNNNNNNNNNNNNNNNNNNNNNNNNNNNNNNNNNNNNNNNNNNNNNNNNNNNNNNNNNNNNNNNNNNNNNNNNNNNNNNNNNNNNNNNNNNNNNNNNNNNNNNNNNNNNNNNNNNNNNNNNNNNNNNNNNNNNNNNNNNNNNNNNNNNNNNNNNNNNNNNNNNNNNNNNNNNNNNNNNNNNNNNNNNNNNNNNNNNNNNNNNNNNNNNNNNNNNNNNNNNNNNNNNNNNNNNNNNNNNNNNNNNNNNNNNNNUUGAUACCAUAUUGGAUUCAAUUAUUAUUGUGUUUCACUUUGCAUGUUUUGACUUCCCGAAUAAACUAGGUUAUUCUUCCGGAAUGACUAAGUUAUUCAAACCAUCCACAGUCGGUCAUAUGUUGGAAGUAGAUAUGAAUUAAGACUGUCAUGGGUUGGCUUGUAGAGGUCUAAGGUGUUGGACAAAGGGCUACAACACUCAUGAGUGCUCAUAAGUUCUGAGUAUUGGAUUCAACCCGCGCUCAUUGGAAUCACUUCAUGGAUUUUAUCACGAGUGAUCAUGAGACGAUAAUAUCUUAUAUUCUUCAAACCUAGAGAUAUGAGUUGUUACUAUGAGUUGGUUGUACAUUGAUUGCACGAAAACGCAUUUGGUAACUCGGUGCUAUAAAACGUGCCUUUGUGUAUGAUUCAACAAGUAGUAGAACAAGCCAUAUGAGUCGAAGUUUAUCCAUUCCUUUUACCUUCGGGAUAAAAGCGAUAUCUGUGGGCCCCUCGAUGAUUUGAUGAUGACAAAUGGAAGUGCUCGGCCGGGCCAGGACUGAUUUGAUUUGUUCAAUUAGUCAGUCGUCAUAAAUCGGAAAUCGGGAAACAACAAAUGGACAGAGAGAAUGAUUAUAAUCCAUGUCUCAGUCCAUAUGAUAUCUAGAAUGGAGGAAUAUAUGAUCCCUUAUCUAAUGGACAAGUUCGUUGACAAGAUCAGAGUUCGACAGCAGCUUUAAGAGCUACGAUUGCCAGUUAGGUUUGAAGUCAUACGCAAUAAUAGUUUUAGACUUAUCCAAGUGGGAGACUGUUGGAUUAAUGUCUAAGUCCAUAACUAUAUUUGGUAUGUACUUGACCCGACCCGGCAUGGUCCAUUUGGGUUGCACUUCACCGACACAAUUUAUAUGGAUAAUCUUUUGAGAAUAGUAUGUUUAUGAUUAAUAUUAAUAUAUUAUAAGUUCUAAUAUAUUAAUAUGGAAUCAUAUUAUUUAAUUAGUAUUGAUCAAGAAUUAAUUUAUAAUUAAUUAAGUGAUCAAAAGGAACUAAUUAAAUAUGGACUCUUAUAUAUAUGGAAUGGGCCAAGUUCAUUUAGGUUGGGCUAAGCUUUCAUGGAUAGUCCAUGGAGUGUUUAACCCAUGGAUCCUAGGAAAUGAAAGGUCAUGGGUAUUAGGGUUUAACCCUAAUCCUCCAUACUAUAUAAAGAUGUCUUUGGUUGGUGAAAUUGGCACUAGUGUGGAUACACUAAAGAAGGGCUAGCCAAUUUCACUAGAGAGAACCAAGUAAUCAUAUUCUCUAAAGUAUUCCAAGGUGUCUUGGUGAUUUGUGAUUCCACUUGAGGCUUCCACACUAUUGGGGCUAAGCUCUUAAAGCUUGAAGACAUCAAGCUACAUCAACAGGUAUGUAUUCUAUCUUGUUACAUUUAUAGUUUUUGUAUGCUAGAUUAGGAUAAUACCUUGGAUGUUCUUAUUUGCAUGUAUAAUAGAGAAAACAUAGAUCCAAGGUAUUUAGGGUUGCAUGUACACUUAGGAAGUGUUAGAAUGCUCAAAACCCAACAGUUCUUGGGCGGUAAACUCCCGAAACCAAGCCUAGAUUGACCCCCGUGAUGUACUACUGCCUUGGACUUGUAUAGGAGUGUAUUACGGACAUAAAAUCAACCAAGAAUCACCCAAGUUUGGGAGUCCACGGCCCAAGAAUAUCUUAAGCCGUAAACUUCAAGAAUAGUGCUCAAAAUGGUGCUUUUAAGGCACCCAAGGCUAAGACUUUAUUUUAGACAUGUACCCUAAAGUGUUUAAAGCCUAGAAAACAUAAGAAAUCACUAGUAUUGAGGAGUUUAUGGCCAAGACAAGUUCUUGGGCCGUAAACACCUAUAAAGGGGUCAAAUGACACCCUAACUCCUUCCUUAAGCCAAGAGACCAAUUUGGGCAUGUACCUAAAUGAGUUUUGGACUAGCUAACACACUUAGAACACAAAGAGUAAGGGAGUUUACGGCCCAAAAGGUUCUAGGGCCGUGAACUCCAUAAAAUGGUGCCAAAUGGUGCCAUAAACUCUUCUAAAGCCAAGUACAAAAGCCUAGUUUAGUUCCUAGUUAAUUUAGAGACUUGAAAACACCAUAACCACCCUCCCAAGGGAGUUUACAGUCGUAAACUCCAAGGGUAUAUGAUCCCUGGGCUGUAAACUCCUUAAAGGAGUUAAUAUGACACCCAAACACUUGAUUUAGCCUUGAAACAAUUCACCACAUGAGUUGUAUAAUUGUUUGACUUCAUUUAGGGGCUUUGUUGAGAGUUUACGGCCAGGAGUUUACUCCCCUGGGCCGUAAACUCCAAGACAUAUGGUCAUUUGACCAUAAACUUCCAUUAGAGGCAUUGCACUCCUUUGUUGCAACCCAUUAGCCUCCUAACACUUGACCAAAAUUGUUUUCCUCGCGUUUAAAUGUUUAUACUUGUAUAAUUAGUGUUUUAAUCACUAAUUAUUUAUAUACAUAUGUCUUCAUAUGUAAUUAGGAUCAUUGUGUGUGUCUAAAGUCUUCACUUGACACCAAGCACUUGUCCGAUCCUUCCUUACGAUAACAGUCCGUUCAAUUCCAGUCACUUACUGCAGGUGAGUUCAUACCCCUUAACUAAUGUUUUAAACUAUUUUUAAAUGUUUUAUGGGGGGAUACAAGUAGAAUCAUGCUAGUUAUUAUAUCAAUCACAUGUGAUUAAUAAGUAGAAUUAUGCUAGUUAUUAUAUCAAUCACAUGUGAUUAAUAUGCAGCAUUCAAAUGAUUUACUACACAUUAGCCGUUUUACCAAACAGUUUCCUUCAAAUGAUUUUUAUAAACAUUUUAUAUGUUUUAAACUCCUUAUUACACUGUACAUUUUACUCUGUAUAUUACAUUUCAAACUUAUUUACAAUUGUGUUUCAAACAAAUGUUUCUUUAUACUAAACUGUUUUAUCAAACCCAUGCCUUCAAACUGUUUUAUAGAUUGACAUCAAGUCGAUCUUUUCUUAAGAUAAUAAUUAUGUUCAAAUGUUUUACAAAACUUAUUUAUGCUUUUAUAUUAUAAAUUGCAUGCCUCUAUAUGUAUAGUUAUAUAAGAAAUGUUUAAAAGACUUAGGAAGGCUAUCCACCCUAUUUCCUUUUCGCGCUUGAGAUGUGGUAUGGUGGGAUAUCAGGUACUCGUCCGAAGGUCGUUUAAAUAUUAGUUAUAUAUCAUGUGUACAUAUAUAGUCAUAAAGGCCCUUCCAGUUCAUCCCACGCCCUUGGGUAGCAAGGGUAUAUAUCCAUGUCCAUACGUACUAGUUAGAUUACUAGUAAACUACCAUAUGGGUAGUUGAGGAAGAUACUAGAACUAUUACAAGAACGCGAUAUCAUACAAUGAGUCAGUUCAUUCAUGAGUCUAUACUUGCUAGAUAGAGAGCACAUACAUUACAGCUAGAAGAUUUCAUUACUACGAGUGCAUAUACAACUAUACUAGAGAAGAACAUAUACAACUAUACUAGAAAGAGAACAUAUACAACGAUACUAGAAUGAUUACAUUACUAUACUUGCUAGGUAGAGAGCACGUACAUUACAGCUAGAACAGUUCAUUACAUUACACUUACAUUAAUACGUUCAUAAAAUUGUGAUCCACUGUGUCGGAGCAUGCCUUAAAUGUCAUGGCCCGAGUUGUAGCCAGAGUCUCUUGGAGGGAGAGCGUGAGUUUGCGUAUAGAUCUAUAUUGGAUUGACUAUCCUACACCUUGCUGCUAGCUACAGCCGGACCUGCAGGUGUGCGGGUGCCAAAUGUCAUUCCGUUAUUACGACCAUUCGUAUGUCGUUGUUACCAGUCGAUAGUAUGGUGCAAUUAAUCACAUGAUGCCUUAAUAUAAAUCC